This is a long non-coding RNA of Bombus impatiens (common eastern bumble bee), 577 nucleotides long. RefSeq lists it as uncharacterized. The transcript is spliced from 3 exons. The record is from RefSeq and is a predicted model, not a curated record. NCBI's taxonomy places the organism in Eukaryota, Metazoa, Arthropoda, Insecta, Hymenoptera, Apidae.
UCACACAAUUAAAAUUAUCACAAUCUUCAUUUAUGCGUUUGCACUUCUAUUUUUUAAGCUUCAAAAUUUUUAUAUUUCUAAAUCUCUGGAACUAAUUUCUGUGUUAAGAACUGCCAAAUUCAAGGUUUCAAGGAGACCUUCACAUAUCAGGGGCAAAACAAAAUUCACACAAUUAAAAUUAUCACAAUCUUCAUUUAUGCGUUUGCACUUCUAUUUUUUAAGCUUCAAAAUUUUUAUAUUUCUAAAUCUCUGGAACUAAUUUCUGUGUUAAGAACUGCCAAAUUCAAGGUUUCAAGGAGACCUUCACAUAUCAGGGGCAAAACAAAAUUCACACAAUUAAAAUUAUCACAAUCUUCAUUUAUGCGUUUGCACUUCUAUUUUUUAAGCUUCAAAAUUUUUAUAUUUCUAAAUCUCUGGAACUAAUUUCUGUGUUAAGAGCUGCCAAAUUCAAGGUUUCAAGGAGACCUUCACAUAUCAGGGGGUGCGUAUCAAUUUGAUAGAAUUUGACGUUAUUGAAUACACGAACAUUUUACGUUAUUAUAUCUUUUCAAAUCUUUACAAUUUCAGCAAAACAAAA